This 253-nucleotide ribosomal RNA is filed under the name uncultured bacterium. Its description in RNAcentral is "partial 16S ribosomal RNA". It matches the Rfam family "Bacterial small subunit ribosomal RNA", at positions 524 to 776 of the family's 1533-position model. The record is from RNAcentral.
UACGGAGGGUGCGAGCGUUGUCCGGAAUCACUGGGCGUAAAGGGCGCGUAGGCGGCCUGAUAAGUAGGGGGUGAAAUCCUGCGGCUUAACCGCAGGGCUGCCUUCUAAACUGUCAGGCUGGAGCACAGUAGAGGCAGGUGGAAUUCCCGGUGUAGCGGUGGAAUGCGUAGAGAUCGGGAAGAACAUCAGUGGCGAAGGCGGCCUGCUGGGCAGUAGCUGACGCUGAGGCGCGACAGCGUGGGGAGCAAACAGG